GGGUUACGCAAGCGAAGCUCUUGAUCGAAGCCCCGGUAAACGGCGGCCGUAACAAUAACGGUCCUAAGGUAGCGAAAUUCCUUGUCGGGUAAGUUCCGACCUGCACGAAUGGCGUAACGAUCUCCCCGCUGUCUCCAGCAUCGGCUCAGUGAAAUUGAAUUCCCCGUGAAGAUGCGGGGUUCCUGCGGUCAGACGGAAAGACCCCGUGCACCUUUACUGUAGCUUUGCGCUGGCCUUCGUGUCGGCAUGUGUAGGAUAGGUGGUAGGCUUUGAAGCGCGGGCGCCAG
This 287-nucleotide ribosomal RNA is filed under the name Pseudo-nitzschia australis. Its description in RNAcentral is "partial Bacterial large subunit ribosomal RNA". It matches the Rfam family "Bacterial large subunit ribosomal RNA", at positions 1887 to 2174 of the family's 2925-position model. The record is from RNAcentral. Lineage: Eukaryota; Bacillariophyta; Bacillariophyceae; Bacillariales; Bacillariaceae.